RNAcentral lists this ribosomal RNA (859 nucleotides) under uncultured bacterium. Its description in RNAcentral is "bacterial SSU rRNA". It matches the Rfam family "Bacterial small subunit ribosomal RNA", at positions 8 to 867 of the family's 1533-position model. The record is from RNAcentral.
AGAGUUUGAUGGUGGCUCAGGAUGAACGCUGGCGGCGUGCCUAACACAUGCAAGUCGAGCGAAGCGAUUUAGCGGAAGUUUUCGGAUGGAAGUUAAAUUGACUGAGCGGCGGACGGGUGAGUAACGCGUGGGUAACCUGCCUCAUACAGGGGGAUAACAGUUAGAAGUGACUGCUAAUACCGCAUAAGCGCACAGCAUCACAUGAUGCAGUGUGAAAAACUCCGGUGGUAUGAGAUGGACCCGCGUCUGAUUAGCUAGUUGGUGAGGUAACGGCUCACCAAGGCGACGAUCAGUAGCCGACCUGAGAGGGUGACCGGCCACAUUGGGACUGAGACACGGCCCAAACUCCUACGGGAGGCAGCAGUGGGGAAUAUUGCACAAUGGGGGAAACCCUGAUGCAGCAACGCCGCGUGAGUGAAGAAGUAUUUCGGUAUGUAAAGCUCUAUCAGCAGGGAAGAAAAUGACGGUACCUGACUAAGAAGCCCCGGCUAACUACGUGCCAGCAGCCGCGGUAAUACGUAGGGGGCAAGCGUUAUCCGGAUUUACUGGGUGUAAAGGGAGCGUAGACGGCGAAGCAAGUCUGAAGUGAAAGCCCGGGGCUUAACCCCGGGACUGCUUUGGAGACUGUUUUGCUAGAGUGCUGGAGAGGUAAGUGGAAUUCCUAGUGUAGCGGUGAAAUGCGUAGAUAUUAGGAGGAACACCAGUGGCGAAGGCGGCUUACUGGACAGUAACUGACGUUGAGGCUCGAAAGCGUGGGGAGCAAACAGGAUUAGAUACCCUGGUAGUCCACGCGGUAAACGAUGAAUGCUAGGUGUUGGGGAGCAAAGCUCUUCGGUGCCGUCGCAAACGCAAUAAGCAU